GUUAGGAAUAUUGGACAAUGGGCGCAAGCCUGAUCCAGCCAUGCCGCGUGAGUGAUGAAGGCCUUCGGGUUGUAAAGCUCUUUAGCCGAUGAUUAUAAUGACUGUAGUCGGAAAAUAAGCCCCGGCUAACUUCGUGCCAGCAGCCGCGGUAUUACGAAGGGGGCGAGCGUUAUUCGGAAUCACUGGGCGUAAAGCGUGCGUAGGCGGUUUUGUAAGUUAGGAGUGAAAGCCUAGGGCUCAACCCUGGAAUUGCUCUUAAAACUACAAGGCUAGAAUGUCGGAGAGGAUAGCGGAAUUUCCAGUGUAGCAGUGAAAUGCGUAGAUAUUGGAAGGAACACCAGUGGCGUAAGCGGCUAUCUGGACGACUAUUGACGCUGAGGCACGAAAGCGUGGGGAGCAAACAGGAUUAGAAACCCGUGUAGUCC
This 425-nucleotide ribosomal RNA is filed under the name uncultured bacterium. Its description in RNAcentral is "partial 16S ribosomal RNA". It matches the Rfam family "Bacterial small subunit ribosomal RNA", at positions 354 to 796 of the family's 1533-position model. The record is from RNAcentral.